Molecule: unclassified non-coding RNA, 355 nt
Filed under: soil metagenome
Description: partial contains 5.8S ribosomal RNA, internal transcribed spacer 2, and large subunit ribosomal RNA
Rfam family: 5.8S ribosomal RNA (bases 1-120)
Source: RNAcentral
GAUGAAGAACGUAGCGAAAUGCGAUAAGUAAUGUGAAUUGCAGAAUUCAGUGAAUCAUCGAAUCUUUGAACGCACAUUGCGCCCAUUAGUAUUCUAGUGGGCAUGCCCGUUCGAGCGUCAUUAAGUCCACUUAAGCCCUGCUUAGUGUUGGGAGACUGCUCCAGCGGUGCUACCCUGUAGCUACCCUGCAGCUCCUCAAAGACAGCGGCGGAGUUGUGGUAUCCUCUGAGCUUAGUAACUUGUUCUAGCUUUCGAGUACACCACUUCCCCUGCCGUAAAACCCUUAAUUUUUAAUGGUUGACCUCGGAUCAGGUAGGAAUACCCGCUGAACUUAAGCAUAUCAAUAAGCGGAGGA